RNAcentral lists this long non-coding RNA (392 nucleotides) under Mytilus galloprovincialis (Mediterranean mussel). The record is from RNAcentral. Lineage: Eukaryota; Metazoa; Mollusca; Bivalvia; Mytilida; Mytilidae.
ACCUUUUUAAUGAUUGAUUGAUUGUUGGUUGCUUAACGUCCAGUGGCAAAUAUUUCAUGCAUAUUCAGGACGAGAACAAGUUCACAAUAAAUAAAAUAGGUAGGUUGAUGGUCGGGGGAAAUUUGGACUGCCACUGGAAAAUGAGGGUAUAUUGGAUAGGGACAGAAAUUUUGGCUUGCAACAGGCCACCUACGGACCAAUCAAAGAGUUGUUGCAAGGGUUCUUAACGUGCAAAGAGCGUGCCACUCUCUUUACACGAGGCAUCGGAUUAAACGUCCCCUUCUGACCGGACGUGACUGCGAACUUGAUACAUCCCGCACAGCCAAACGGACGCCCCACUUCGGCAAGCGUUUUACUGCCGGUCGGGAGAUUUUUGGUAUUCAACGAAUAAU